Long non-coding RNA from Esox lucius (northern pike), 713 nucleotides. RefSeq lists it as uncharacterized. The transcript is spliced from 3 exons. Lineage: Eukaryota; Metazoa; Chordata; Actinopteri; Esociformes; Esocidae. The record is from RefSeq and is a predicted model, not a curated record.
CAUUUCACCAAGCCUAGACUAGGAUUAACUAUGUUGUAGACAUCAUGUCAAACAUCUUUAAAGGUUUUUGUUGGUAAUUAAUUGCAGAUUUUUUUUUUUCCUUCUUUUUAAUAGUUCAGUUCUUUUGUUUCCAUAUAGGUCAUGUUUAAUCCAAGCCUAUAUGACAAACCUUGAACAGCACGCUUGAGAUACGAAAAGAGUACCGUAAGACUGGUAAUAAUCUCCAUACGCAUUCUAUGACAUGCCCUUCAUUUCAAUUGGGUUCUUCGUUCUAACACCAUGAUCUUUAAGGGAACCCUGCAGUGUCGCACCAUCAGCUGAGCACGGCUAACAUGUAAACAUCCCUAUUGAAACGUUACCAGUCUGGGCCCUCAGGAAAGAGGCGCACCGACACAUCAUACGUACGCCGGGGCGGUUCAGAAGUCUGUCUACCAACCGGAAACCGUUGAAACGACACGGUCGAUUGACGGCAAAUGGGACAAAGUCUCGGCUGACGAGUGUACGGCGUACACGGAGCAGCAAAAUGAACGGACGCCGGCUGCGUGAGCGGUGGUUCAGAGACUGUCUCUCCGGUGGCAGGUGUUGGGAACGUUCCCCCGGCCGUCUCCCAGCUGCAGUGGAACCACUUCCCCCGGACUGUACGCGGCGCGUGCCGGCGGCUGACCACUCCAGUGGUGUGAACUUAGGCCUUCACUUUCCAAAGGCCGGGGGCC